RNAcentral lists this ribosomal RNA (483 nucleotides) under uncultured bacterium. RNAcentral's name for it is "partial 16S ribosomal RNA". It matches the Rfam family "Bacterial small subunit ribosomal RNA", at positions 899 to 1397 of the family's 1533-position model. The record is from RNAcentral.
ACUCAAAUGAAUUGACGGGGACCCGCACAAGCGGUGGAACAUGUGGUUUAAUUCGACGGUAAGCGAGAAACCUCACCAGGGCUUGACAUGAUACUGCAAAUCUUCUGAAAGGAAGACUCCUUCGAGGGUGUAUCACAGGUGCUGCAUGGUUGUCGUCAGCUCGUGCCGUGAGGUGUACCCUUAAGUGGGGUAACGAGCGCAACCCCCAUGCCGUGUUAUUUUUUCACGGCAGACCGCCUCGGAUAACGGGGAGGAAGGUGGGGAUGACGUCAAAUCAGCAUGGCUCUUACGUCCUGGGCGACACACGUGUUACAAUGGAUGGUACAAUGGGCCGCCAAACCGAAAGGUGGAGCAAAUCCCAUCAAAACCAUUCUCAGUUCGGAUUGAGGUCUGCAACUCGACCUCAUGAAGCUGGAAUCGCUAGUAAACGCGCAUCAUAACGGCGCGUUGAAUACGUUCUCGGGUCUUGUACACACCGCCCGU